Molecule: RNA transcript, 1507 nt
Organism: Raphanus sativus (radish)
Lineage: Eukaryota; Viridiplantae; Streptophyta; Magnoliopsida; Brassicales; Brassicaceae
Exons: 4
Source: RefSeq, a predicted model, not a curated record
UUUUUUUUGAGCUUCAGAGAUUUAGAUAGGCUUACUACGUGUGUUAAGUGGGCCAAUUGAAAUCAAUAGUCAAACUCUUCGUCUUCAAGAACCACACUACAAUUCUAGGAUUCGUAUUGUUCUUCGGCCUCUGAUUUAUUAGACCUACCAUGGAUUUUCGGAUAUCAUAGCCACCCUCACCAGGGCUUUGUUCUAUGUUGGGUAGGUACAACUGCAUAUGAUCUCUAUCCUCUGUCUGCAAAGUAUGAAAGGUUGUGGAUGCCUUUAUUCCUGGAGAUCGAUUUUCAGGAGAAACAAUGGUCUGUGUGUCUUUGUAAUUGAGUCAGUUCCUGCUUCUCUUAUUUGAUGUGUGUUGUUUUUUCGUUUUAGGACAGGUGAUACGCUUUUUGCAUUUGUCCGCUUUAAGUAUAAAGACGAAGCUCACAAAGCAGUGGGAACGCUUUGAUGCUAGGUCUAAUAUCAAUUUAUGCACUUGGUGAUUGGAUUUGACAUGAAAGCAUUUGUUAUUGUUUUAGGAAGAGUUUUAUUAGGUUUUUGUUUAAGUUUCUAAUUUUUGAUUUUUAUACUUAAAACCAUUUUUAUAUUCUCAGUGUGUAUGUUUUAUCUCUUAGAACUUACUGUCUUCUGUGUUUGUUGAGUUUUCUGUUUUGUUCGUCUUGGAGUUUCCGUUGUAUUUUGAUUUUUCUUUUCCUGAAGGUUUAGCUACGAAAUUAUGUUUACAGACGACGAGAUCUGCGACAUUGAUAUAUUUGUCAUUUCAGUUAGGAUAUUAUCACAAAAAAAAAAAAAUCUCUAAGCAUGUGAUUAUGUUAACCUCCAAUGAUCUCCGAUUGCAUGAAUCAAACAGUGUUAGUCUUAACCUGAAACAUACCUUUUUAAAUCAUACCUUAAACAUGCUUGCUUUUAUGAUUUUAGAUCUGGGGUUUGUUCUGACAUAACAGGCUGCAUGAAUGGUAGUAUAACUGGCCGCACAACGACCUGCACAGCGAGUGUUCGUAGAUGUUGCAAAAGCUAUCUCAGAAUUCGAACUUGUGACAGUCAGUGCAAGCCCGCUCAGUGGCAAAAUGCAAGGAAACAACUUCCAUAUGAUAUCAGAGUUGUUGAGAUGAGUAUGAAUGAUUCUUAGCUCCGCGACUAUGGACCAACUCUUUCUUGCGUAUGAAGACAGCUUUAAGUUUAAGCCAUUCCACCACAGCUUUUCCCGAGCCUCUAUUAGUGUACAUGUUACGGACCUGAGCUUGGUACGGGAUAUUGUAGCCGUAACAAAACUCAUCCGUCUGACCAACAGUCUUCAACAGUCUCUGCAUAUCGUCAGUUUCAAGCAUCUCAGAACUCGGCUGCAGUCCAUUGUGAUGCAGUGCAGAAAACACAUCAGUUACUAGAAGUGCAAAACAAGAUUAAUGUAUUGACAAAAUCAAACUUAUUUUUGGUGUAGACUUCAUCAUUGAUUUUUUUUUAAAAUAUAUUCUGAUCAUAUCUUCUAAUGGUUUAGACAUGUUUUUCAAAA